Molecule: non-coding RNA, 110 nt
Filed under: Clostridiales bacterium KLE1615
Lineage: Bacteria; Bacillati; Bacillota; Clostridia; Eubacteriales
Also listed under: 1 other name
Description: TPP riboswitch aptamer (THI element)
Rfam family: TPP riboswitch aptamer (THI element)
About the family: Vitamin B(1) in its active form thiamin pyrophosphate (TPP) is an essential coenzyme that is synthesised by coupling of pyrimidine and thiazole moieties in bacteria. The previously detected thiamin-regulatory element, thi box was extended, resulting in a new, highly conserved RNA secondary structure, the THI element, which is widely distributed in eubacteria and also occurs in some archaea. Analysis of operon structures identified a large number of new candidate thiamin-regulated genes, mostly transporters, in various prokaryotic organisms.
Source: Rfam by way of RNAcentral
AUAAUCGUUACGGGGAGCUGGCGUAAAAAGCUGGCUGAGAGGAGAAUGCAUUUCUCGACCCAUAACCUGAUUUGGGUAAUGCCAACGUAGGGACAACAAAGCGAGUAAUC